RNAcentral lists this ribosomal RNA (336 nucleotides) under uncultured Thermovirga sp. Its description in RNAcentral is "bacterial SSU rRNA". It matches the Rfam family "Bacterial small subunit ribosomal RNA", at positions 1046 to 1382 of the family's 1533-position model. The record is from RNAcentral. Lineage: Bacteria; Thermotogati; Synergistota; Synergistia; Synergistales; Thermovirgaceae.
UGGCCGGUCGUCAGCUCGUGCCGUGAGGUGUUGGGUUAAGUCCCGCAACGAGCGCAACCCUGCAUUCAGUUGCCAACGGUAAGGCCGGGCACUCUGGAUGGACUGCCGGCGACAAGCCGGAGGAAGGUGGGAUGACGUCAAGUCAUCAUGGCCCUUAUGUCCAGGGCGACACACGUGCUACAAUGGCCGGCACAGCGGGAAGCAGGGGGCGACCUUGAGCGGAUCCCUCAAAGCCGGUCUCAGUUCGGAUUGCAGUCUGCAACUCGACUGCCAUGGAGUUGGAAUCGCUAGUAAUCGUGGAUCAGCAUACUCGCGGUGAAUACGUUCCCGGGCCUU